AGUGAACGCUGGCGGCGUGCCUAACACAUGCAAGUCGAACGCGAAAGUCCCGCAAGGGAUGAGUAGAGUGGCAGACGGGUGAGUAAUAUAUAGGUAACCUACCCUUGAGUGGGGGACAACAUGCCGAAAGGUGUGCUAAUCCCGCAUAACAUUCGGUGGCUCAAGUCAUCGAAUCAAAGAGGGGGAUCCUUCGGGACCUCUCGCUUGAGGAUGGGCCUGUAUCCUAUUAGCUAGUUGGUGGGGUAAUGGCCUACCAAGGCAAUGAUGGGUAGCCGAGCUGAGAGGCUGAUCGGCCACACUGGAACUGAAACACGGUCCAGACUCCUACGGGAGGCAGCAGUGGGGAAUAUUGGGCAAUGGGCGAAAGCCUGACCCAGCGACGCCGCGUGGGUGAUGAAGG
This 400-nucleotide ribosomal RNA is filed under the name uncultured bacterium. RNAcentral describes it as "bacterial SSU rRNA". It matches the Rfam family "Bacterial small subunit ribosomal RNA", at positions 29 to 414 of the family's 1533-position model. The record is from RNAcentral.